Molecule: ribosomal RNA, 458 nt
Filed under: uncultured bacterium
Lineage: Bacteria
Description: partial 16S ribosomal RNA
Rfam family: Bacterial small subunit ribosomal RNA
Source: RNAcentral
CCUACGGGUGGCUGCAGUGGGGAAUAUUGCACAAUGGGGGAAACCCUGAUGCAGCGACGCCGCGUGAGUGAAGAAGCGUUUCGGCGCGUAAAGCUCUGUCAGCGGGGAAGAAACACGGUUCGCGAGAGCCGCGGACGGUACCCGACCAAGAAGCCCCGGCUAACUACGUGCCAGCAGCCGCGGUAAUACGUAGGGGGCAAGCGUUAUCCGGAUUCACUGGGUGUAAAGGGAGCGUAGACGGCGAGACAAGUCUGGAGUGAAAGGCCGGGGCCCAACCCCGGGACUGCUCUGGAAACUGCCUGGCUGGAGUACAGGAGGGGCAGGCGGAAUUCCUGGUGUAGCGGUGAAAUGCGUAGAUAUCAGGAGGAACACCGGCGGCGAAGGCGGCCUGCUGGACUGAAACUGACGUUGAGGCUCGAAAGCGUGGGGAGCAAACAGGAUUAGAUACCCGGGUAGUC